Molecule: transfer RNA, 79 nt
Filed under: uncultured Lachnospira sp.
Lineage: Bacteria; Bacillati; Bacillota; Clostridia; Lachnospirales; Lachnospiraceae
Description: tRNA-Pro(tgg)
Rfam family: tRNA
About the family: Transfer RNA (tRNA) molecules are approximately 80 nucleotides in length. Their secondary structure includes four short double-helical elements and three loops (D, anti-codon, and T loops).
Source: RNAcentral
UCGGGGUGUGGCUCAGCUUGGCUAGAGCGCCUGGUUUGGGACCAGGAGGCCGCAGGUUCGAAUCCUGUCACCCCGAUCC